RNAcentral lists this ribosomal RNA (403 nucleotides) under uncultured Pseudomonadota bacterium. Its description in RNAcentral is "bacterial SSU rRNA". It matches the Rfam family "Bacterial small subunit ribosomal RNA", at positions 353 to 772 of the family's 1533-position model. The record is from RNAcentral. Lineage: Bacteria; Pseudomonadati; Pseudomonadota.
AGUUAGGAAUCUUGCGCAAUGGGCGAAAGCCUGACGCAGCGACGCCGCGUGAGGGAUGAAGGCCUUCGGGUUGUAAACCUCUUUUGGCAGGGAAGAACACUGACGGUACCUGCAGAAUAAGCACCGGCUAACUCUGUGCCAGCAGCCGCGGUAAUACAGAGGGUGCAAGCGUUAUUCGGAAUUACUGGGCGUAAAGCGCACGUAGGUGGUUUUGUAAGUCUGAUGUGAAAUCCCACGACUCAAUCGUGGAAGUGCAUUGGAUACUGCCAGACUAGAGUACAGGAGGGGUAAGCGGAAUUCCAGGUGUAGAGGUGAAAUUCGUAGAUAUCUGGAGGAACAACGGUGGCGAAGGCGGCUUACUGGACUGUAACUGACACUGAGGUGCGAAAGCGUGGGUAGCAAA